UUUCCGUAGGUGAACCUGCGGAAGGAUCAUUCAUAAUAAAGUGUUUUAUGGCACUUUUUAAAAAUCCAUAUCCACCUUGUGUGCAAUGUUAGAUCUCGUCAAUCUUGGCGAGAUUUUUAUACAUCAACUCAUUCUUUAACUAAUUUGUCUGAAAAAUAUUAUGAAUACUUAAUUCAAAAUACAACUUUCAACAACGGAUCUCUUGGCUCUCGCGUCGAUGAAGAACGCAG
Molecule: unclassified non-coding RNA, 230 nt
Filed under: plant metagenome
Description: partial contains small subunit ribosomal RNA, internal transcribed spacer 1, and 5.8S ribosomal RNA
Rfam family: 5.8S ribosomal RNA (bases 183-230)
Source: RNAcentral